RNAcentral lists this ribosomal RNA (835 nucleotides) under Xanthoria sp. 321(100.10). RNAcentral's name for it is "partial 23S ribosomal RNA". The stretch from base 1 to 419 matches the Rfam family "Bacterial large subunit ribosomal RNA", at positions 967 to 1301 of the family's 2925-position model. The record is from RNAcentral. Lineage: Eukaryota; Fungi; Ascomycota; Lecanoromycetes; Teloschistales; Teloschistaceae.
UGGAUUAUAUUGAAUAAUCAGACAUAGUGCGCUAAGGUUGUAUGUCUAAAGGGAAACAGCCCAGAACAAGUGUAAAUAAGGUUCCAAAAUUAUUAUUAAGUGAAACAAAGGUAGUUAUCUCUUAAACACCCAGGAAAUUGGCUUAGAGGCGGCCAUUUUUUAAAGACCUCGUAACAGAGCACUGGUUUUUAUUUUAAAUUAGAAAUAUGUAAAAAAUUAAAUAAAUUUAUACUGGGAAAAGCACCUACGAUUCCACGGAUCUAAAUAAUAUACCGAAACCUUGUCCAUGUUUAUUUAUAUGUAUGCUUGUAUAUAUACAUACGCGCGUAUAUAUAUAAUAAAAUGGGGUAGCGGAACAUUGGGCAAACCACACUUUUUUUGUAUAAAAAAUUUUAGGUACCCCAAGUGAUAAUGCUGACAUGAGUAACGAUAAAGGGAUAAAUCCCUCGCCUAAAGCUUAUGGUAUUUAGUUAAAGUAACGGCCUCUAAGUUUAUAAAUAAAAAACUAAAGUAUUUUUCCCGAUAUACGGAUAGUAAUUAAAAGUAUUUUAGUUAACCUAAAGGAUUAAACGAUGAGCAAAUCUUUAGAAUAAAAAUAUAUAUAUAUAACAUUUUAAAAAACUUUUCUCCGUUAGACUUUCGUUAGACUUUCGUUAGACUUUCGUUAGACUUUCGUUAGAAAAGUGUAAAAGUGAAAAGUGUUCUGGAAAAUUGUAUUUUUUACCACUUUACCUAAAACGCGUGAUUUAUAUCAUUCGUGGAAGAUAAACUAAAUAGAUGAACCAAUUUAAAGUGGUUACCGUACCUAUAUACUACCACAAGUAAGCAAGUAGAG